AUCUAUGGCCAUACCACCCUGAAGGCACCUGAUGUCAUCUGAUCUUGGAAGCUAAGCAGAGUUGAGCCUGGUUAGUACUUGGAUGGGAGACAACCUGGGAAUACCAGGUGCUAUAGGCU
RNAcentral lists this ribosomal RNA (119 nucleotides) under Saimiri boliviensis boliviensis (Bolivian squirrel monkey). Lineage: Eukaryota; Metazoa; Chordata; Mammalia; Primates; Cebidae. The record is from RNAcentral.